Branchiostoma floridae (Florida lancelet) is the source of this 941-nucleotide long non-coding RNA. RefSeq lists it as uncharacterized. The transcript is spliced from 3 exons. Lineage: Eukaryota; Metazoa; Chordata; Leptocardii; Amphioxiformes; Branchiostomatidae. The record is from RefSeq and is a predicted model, not a curated record.
UAGAAACAAGUGGCCGUAGGUAACAUACUCUGUGACCUAAUAAUGGGUUAUGUCAGUUGUGAUGUUUUCUGUGGUGGAUCAUAUAUCAUUUUUUGUAUCAGUAUCAGGAGUGUGCCAUGGUAGCGUACAAUUAAUUUCAUUAUGUCAGAUAACCAAUCGUACAAGUCCAUUCUUUUGACCAAUUAAAUCAUGGGGAUUUUAUUAGACUAGACCAAUCAUAUGGACCAGCCCCCGCGUUCACCUGUGUGUAUCCCCGAAUGUCUCGCCAUUCUGUCUGGCUUCUGUCUGGAGUCAUUCUGGCUUAUAACGUUAUACUCGCAGCUCCCCACAACAGAACAACGCCACGCCGCUAUGUGGCAGAGCUCCUUUGUACUUUCAGCGUCCUACCUUCGUGAUAACAGUGCAUACAGAAAACGCAGCCGUGAGACACGACUCCUCAAACUAAACUAUUUCUACACGUCCUCAACACAGCAAUACACCUGAUGGCAGCCAUCCGCCGGAGACGACUCCGGUACCUGGACCACAUUCUCCGCAUGGACCCCUCCAGACUGGUCAGGCGUACCCUGAAGGCCUACGUGUGCGGAGGAGUAAACCCGCCUGAAGGUUCCCUCCUGAUAGACUGAUAUCAGUAUUGAUGCCAUCAAUCCAGGAUCAACUGCAUGCAGCUUUCCAGGGUGGGACUUAGACUUAUUGUCCGAUGCCAUACCAUCCCCACAGCAGUUUGUACGGUGACGUCCAGGAAGAUCGGUGCACGUGUGUACGUCGAGCCCUACCAGAGGACCUGAAACUAAGUUAAGUUCUUUUGUAUGUCUUAUGUUGUGUAAAUUGCCCAGCCUUAGCUUAGCAAACUCAUGGUAGAUGGUAAGGUGCUGAGUAUGCUUUGUUGACAUGCCGAGUGAUGAUGCUGGUAGAGGUUUAUAUUAGGACACUUUGUAACUAGA